UACGAAGGGGGCUAGCGUUACUCGGAAUCAUUGGGCGUAAAGCGCGUGUAGGCGGUCCGGUAAGUCCGCUGUGAAAGUCGGGGGCUCAACCUCAGAUGCCGGUGGAUACUGUCGGGCUUGAGUACGGAAGAGGCGAGUGGAAUUCCUGGUGUAGCGGUGAAAUGCGCAGAUAUCAGGAGGAACACCAAUUGCGAAGGCAGCUCGCUGGGACGUUACUGACGCUGAGACGCGAAAGCGUGGGGAGCAAACAGG
This 252-nucleotide ribosomal RNA is filed under the name uncultured bacterium. RNAcentral's name for it is "partial 16S ribosomal RNA". It matches the Rfam family "Bacterial small subunit ribosomal RNA", at positions 524 to 776 of the family's 1533-position model. The record is from RNAcentral.